RNAcentral lists this long non-coding RNA (2787 nucleotides) under Marmota monax (woodchuck). The record is from RNAcentral. Lineage: Eukaryota; Metazoa; Chordata; Mammalia; Rodentia; Sciuridae.
UUAAAAUAUUUGUUCUGCUCUGUCCUGUGCAAGGAAUACAGGACAAUUAGACAGCACAGCCCUUUGUCCUUGAGGGGCUCACGGUGACACACAAGGAGGUGCCCUGAGUCAAUUGUUCCAGCCCUUCCCAAGGUGUGGCUUUCCUGAUGGUGACAAAGGAGAUGUGGGUGCCAUUGGGGUCAUGUCCCAGAGAAGGGAAAGAUGGAAAGAAGGAGGCGGCCAGUGGCCAUGAGAACCCUCCCGAGGAUGGGGGCAGGCUCUCCUGAAGCUGAGAGAGGGACAGAGGAGCACGCGCUGCUGUCACGGUGACCUUCCCUUCUCAGAGCUGCUGCUGAGUGCUGGGAGAGGUGGUGGGGAGCAGCAGCAAGUGAGCAAACAUGACUUUUAGAAGAAAAAGCCCCGGUUUCUUCCCCGGUGCCCGUGCAGGCUGCGUCAGCAGUGUUCUGAGCGGGUGGAGAGCCAAGAUUCAUUUGCCGCUUGAGAAGGCACAUGCGGGACGGUCAACACACUUGUUUGCUUUUAAUAAUGGAUUAGAGGCUAAGUGGAGAAUGCGAAGCUCCAAAGGAAACAGUUGGCACUCUGCCUGCUGUGAAUCUCAACACACUGUAUCCCGGGAAUCUCUUUCCAAUAGGACCCAGAAGCAAGCGGAAAGCAGGGUGUCCUCAGAAUCCUGCACGUAGGCAGGCAGGUGUGCUGGCCCUUUCCCUAGAGCACCUGAAUGUCCUUACCUGGUCCAUCCCCCAUGGCUGCCACACAGGGGGCCACCUGCACUGGGGAAAAUGGUCCCCAACUGAAUCUCCGUUGACAGAGCAAAACUUUAAAUCCCUUGUUCACUCCCUACUGGCUGUGUGACCUUGUGCAGAUUCCUUGACCUUUCUGAAUCUAAGAUAAAUAAAACACCAGAUGUGGUAGAGGCAGAAAAUAUUGAAGAGGGUAGCGGAGUGAUAACCACCCGCUGACUGCCUACCGCUGGCUUGCUUCCUUCCAAUUAUUAGUUAUCGUUCUCCUUAACCUCGAGAAAAGCGUCUUCAGCUUUGUUUAAAAUAAAGAGACACUGAAAUCCAGAGGUCUUCUUGCCCAAGACCAGGGAGUCAGCAAGGGGCGCAGCCAGGGCUUGACCCUGCUUCAGCCAGCAUUGUCUACGGCUGCCUCCCCGUGACCCGGGGCUGAAUGAAAUGUGAGCCAAGUGACCGUGACCCUAGGAGCCUCCAGGGUGCUGGCGAUGUGCAGCAGUUGUCUGAGGAGACUAGUGGGGUGCAGAGCACCCUGGGCACCCAUGGUGGGCUCAGGAGGUCAGCCAAGCUUCCCGGUUUCUUGGUCCCUCCGGCUCUCCUCCCAUUUUACACUGGAUAGGUGCCUACACCACACUGUGCCACGUACUCUCCGUCUCUCUCCUCACGGAGGUUCCUUCCCCCUGGGUGGCUGUUGCCUUUCUAUUCUGUCGAUGGUGCGCAGACUCCAUGGCCCUAGUGCAUCUGGCUGCUCUUGAUGGUGAACUCAGGGCUUGUCCAGUUCCUCUGCCCUCCCCUUCUGCCCCUCCCCUCCCCUUCUCUUUUCCUGCCCUCCUUCUAUCCCAUUCCUUCCCUGGCUGAGUGCUCUUGCUGAACGAGCUCACGUGCUCUUUGGAGUCAGCUGUCCUCAGGUUACGUGCCAGUGUGUCCAGAAUCAGGACUCCAGUCCCGGUUGUGGCUCUGAGAUGGGCCCCUUAUAUCCAAGUCCUUCCCGAACAUUUCCAGCUGGAUGCCCACCCAUGUCUGAAACUGAACAUCUCAAAGCACAAACAUGAAAAAUGACAUUGAACCCGUCUCACUGCCAUUGUCUAACCUGCCUCUCCAGCCUAUGGCCAACCUCGACCCACAAAGAGGCAAAUGUGACUCUGGUCUCUCUGAGGCCACAGACACAUCGCUGGCUGCCCACCGUCUGGGGGUACAGGCUGUGCCUGUGACCUGGAGUGAGCACCGGACGAGCCACACAAUGCCCCACAGGCUGGCACAGUGUGUCCUCUGGCUGUCUUACGUGUGAGGCUGGACACUUCCACCCAUUCUCUUUGCACAUGGUGGAAUGAUUUUCAGCCCAUCUGCAUUCAGCUGACUGUCCAGGUCUCAGAAGAGCUGACACCCUCUCACAUCUUCCCCAGGCUUGGUCACGGUCCUGUCAUGUGCUCUCCACAACAGCCCUCACUCCACCCAGGAAUUGGCCGCUGUUCUCCAAGCCAGGUAGCCACAGAAGAGAGAUCACGGCUGCUCUCACCACCUCCCCAUGGCCUGGGGGAAAUAAGGUGUCAACAUCAUUUCACAUUUUUUUAAACAAUAAAUAGGCAAGUGGUCAACGGUUUGUAUGUCCAUCAAUUGGAAAGACUCGGAGUUAGAAACGCACGUCUUGAGUUAUGUUUCCUGAGAUGAUGGUGGGGCCAAGAAGAGCUGGGAUUGGCCAGGGAAGAGUGGAGGAGAGCAAAGCCCUGAGGAAUCCUAGCAGCUCCCGGAGGAAGGGAGGACGACGCAGCCCCAGAGAAGACCCUGCCGUGGUUGCCAAGGCAAUAGGAGAGGACUCCGGAGACAGACCAUGCUGGAAGCCAAAGAAGCAAGCCCUCUGUGGCAGGGGGAGGUCUACAGUGAAGUCCCAGGCAGCUGUUGUGGAUUUAGCAGUGGAAAAAGGCCAUCUCAGGGCAGGGCUUUCCCUCAGCUCCUCCCCCGAGUCACACCAGGUGCCAUCAGGGCUCUGAGCCUCUGCAACGCUCAUCCCUUCACCUAGCCUGCCUUUCUGUCCCCAUUUCUUCUCUUGGGAAAC